UUUAAAGGGCCGCGGUAUCAUGACCGUGCAAAGGUAGCAUAAUCAUUAGUCUUUUAAUUGAAGGCUGGUAUGAAUGGUUUGACGAAAUAAUAGCUGUCUAAGUAUAAUUAAUAGAAUUUCACUUUUAAGUUAAAAGGCUUAAAUAUUUAUGGAGGACGAGAAGACCCUAUAGAGUUUAAUAAAUAUUAUAUAAUUUGUAUUUUGGAUGUUUAUUAAAUUUUGUUUAGUAUUUAUUAUGUUGGGGUGACAUAAAGAUAAAUGAAACUCUUUAUUUAAAUAACAUUAAUUUAUGGUUGAUUGAUCCAUUUAUAGUGAUCAUAAGAUUAAAUUACCUUAGGGAUAACAGCAUAAUUCCCUUUGAGAGUUCUUAUCAACAAGGGGGAUUGUGACCUCGAUGUUGGAUUAAGGAAUAUGCUUAAGUGCAGCAGUUUAAGUUAUAGGUCUGUUCGACCUUUAAAUCCUUACAUGAUCUGA
RNAcentral lists this ribosomal RNA (474 nucleotides) under Lunidia viridis. Its description in RNAcentral is "partial large subunit ribosomal RNA". It matches the Rfam family "Bacterial large subunit ribosomal RNA", at positions 1922 to 2608 of the family's 2925-position model. The record is from RNAcentral. Lineage: Eukaryota; Metazoa; Arthropoda; Insecta; Orthoptera; Tettigoniidae.